GUGGUGGACCAGAGCGCUUCAGCUACACCAACUGGUACUCUCAGAACAGUCCCAGCAGCUACCCGUGCAUUUACCUCCGGACCGCAGGCGGCUGGUACAAUAAUGUAUGCAGUACUUCAAGGCCUUUCAUCUGUGUGAGGAGAACAGACACCUGCUGAACCAGAAGCCUCUCAGCCUGAUGGAUGGUAUCUUGAAUACCUUGAAUUGUUGACACAGCUUAUUUGAUCUUUUGGAAAACUGUAAGCCCCAAUCAGCUGCACAAGCUGAAUGUUUUAUGAAAUGAUGAUUUGCUGAUUACUUCAUGCUGUAUGUAUGAAAUUACUUUCUUUUUUUCUUUCUUAAGAAGCCACAGGUCCAUUGCUUAUAUAUUUUUUACGAAAGAUUUUAGAGACAUAAAAGUUGCACUUGAAAUCAAAAUAUUUGUUAUGAAUAAAGAUAUAUAUUGUGACGUA
This is a non-coding RNA of Labrus bergylta (ballan wrasse), 452 nucleotides long. The record is from RefSeq and is a predicted model, not a curated record. Lineage: Eukaryota; Metazoa; Chordata; Actinopteri; Labriformes; Labridae.